This 497-nucleotide ribosomal RNA is filed under the name uncultured bacterium. RNAcentral's name for it is "partial 16S ribosomal RNA". It matches the Rfam family "Bacterial small subunit ribosomal RNA", at positions 28 to 507 of the family's 1533-position model. The record is from RNAcentral.
GAUGAACGCUGGCGGCGUGCCUAAUACAUGCAAGUCGAGCGAACGGACGAGAAGCUUGCUUCUCUGAUGUUAGCGGCGGACGGGUGAGUAACACGUGGAUAACCUACCUAUAAGACUGGGAUAACUUCGGGAAACCGGAGCUAAUACCGGAUGAUAUUUUGAACCGCAUGGUUCAAAAGUGAAAGACGGUCUUGCUGUCACUUAUAGAUGGAUCCGCGCUGCAUUAGCUAGUUGGUAAGGUAACGGCUUACCAAGGCAACGAUGCAUAGCCGACCUGAGAGGGUGAUCGGCCACACUGGAACUGAGACACUGUCCAGACUCCUACGGGAGGCAGCAGUAGGGAAUCUUCCGCAAUGGGCGAAAGCCUGACGGAGCAACGCCGCGUGAGUGAUGAAGGUCUUCGGAUCGUAAAACUCUGUUAUUAGGGAAGAACAUAUGUGUAAGUAACUGUGCACAUCUUGACGGUACCUAAUCAGAAAGCCACGGCUAACUACGUG